This is a non-coding RNA of Trichuris trichiura (human whipworm), 108 nucleotides long. The record is from Rfam. Lineage: Eukaryota; Metazoa; Nematoda; Enoplea; Trichinellida; Trichuridae.
AGUGCUUCAAUGGAAACAUUAAGCACCAUGUUGGUGCAAUGACCUUUGGAUAACCCUUUUUAUGCUCCGUGAAAGCGAUCACAAAGGGACUCUGCAAUACUUGUUUGC